Long non-coding RNA from Gopherus evgoodei (Goodes thornscrub tortoise), 476 nucleotides. RefSeq lists it as uncharacterized. The transcript has 5 exons. Lineage: Eukaryota; Metazoa; Chordata; Testudines; Testudinidae. The record is from RefSeq and is a predicted model, not a curated record.
UCUGGGCCCUGUUCUGCCAGGUGCUGCAGAGACCCCAACAGAGGUCAGACCCCACUGUUGUGACAGGUGCUGUGGAGACCCCAAGUGAGAUCUGCGCCUCUGUUGUGCUGGGCACUGCAGAGACCCCACAGACAUCAGGCCCCCCAUUGUGCCAGGCUACAGAAUAACGUCCACGUUUUGCUCCAGAUCAUCCCAUCCUCCCAGGGGGAAGGCAAUGGCUGCAAUGGAGCUGGCUCAGGCCUUCCAUUCUCCUGUUCAAGAGACAUCACCCAGGGCUCCCUCUGCCUGUGUGACUGGCCAGCAGGGGGCGGUGAUAACUUCCUAUCCACCUCUCAGGCACUGUGAGGCUGCGGAAUAAUGUCCAUGUUUCGCUCCAGUUCAUCCCGUCCUCUCGUUGGACAGGGGAGAGAAAUGGCUGCAGAGGAGCCAGUUCAGGGGCCGGUGACCUUCGAGGAGGUGGCUGUGUAUUUCACCAG